This 14892-nucleotide long non-coding RNA is filed under the name Olea europaea (common olive). RNAcentral's name for it is "long non-coding RNA (OEUR_LNC007518)". Lineage: Eukaryota; Viridiplantae; Streptophyta; Magnoliopsida; Lamiales; Oleaceae. The record is from RNAcentral.
AUGUGGGAGAAACUGAAGAAGUGCAACUAUUCUACUACUUCGUCGAGUCCGAAAGCAAUCCUAAAACGGACCCUAUUCUGCUUUGGCUCACGGGUGGACCUGGUUGCUCUGCUCUCUCCGGCCUCUUUUAUGAAAUCGGUACUCUCUAUAUAUGUGUGUGUGUUAUUAUUUUCUUUUAGUAAAUGCGACUUAUACAUAUUCAGGGAGUUACACCUUUCCUAUGAAUAAACGAGAGAGAUGUGUAUUAUUAUUUUCUUUUAGUAAGGACUUAUAUAUAUUCAGGGAAUUACACCUUUCCUAUGAAUAAACGAGAGAGAUAUGUGUGUGUGCACUAUGCAAAUGAUGAGUAGCAGCCAGCAAAAUAUGGAAAGCGAUUCGCUUUAUUCAAAUUGAUCUUACGAAAGAUCUGCAAUUGCUCAGUACCGUAAAUAAGUAAUAUAGUGAUAAGUGGAAUGAUUUCACCGAAUUUCUGACUCAAAAUUUUUGCAAUAAUUUUACAAAUGAUGAGAAAACCGGUUCCUAUAUCCGGUGUGAGUUCGCUAAUUUAAUGGAUUUUAAUGGUGAUAUAUGGUUGACACAGCCCCGGCCCCAGCUUCUGUCCCUGUUCCUCAAGCUAAGUUUCAAUUUGUUUUGUUUAGAAUGAAUUUCCAUUCCAAGAAUAUAUUUCCAAGCAGCUGGUCGUAGAAUUCGACAAGGUAAACUUUACGGCUUAAAAAUCCACUGAAAAACCCAUUGCCCCUUACCCAGUCUCUUUACAAAAAAAAAAAAAAUAUCCAUGCUAAAAAUUGUUAAAUAUAAUCAGCAAGAUUCACUGGAUUGAAAGAAUAUUAUAUUUUGACAACCCAUUAAACUAUAUUUGAAAUAUAACUUUUACGAUUUUCAUGCCAAUUUUGCAUGCUUUUGUGUAGGUCCAUUAGCUUUCAAUGUUGCAGAUUUUGAUGGAAACUUACCAUCUAUUCACCAAAAUCCAUAUUCAUGGACCAAGGUCAAAAACAUAUUUCAUUCCAUGAUCAAAGUCAUAUACGUAUCUCAUCUAUAGCUCUCUAAGUUUAGCACUGCAAUAAUUUAGCCUUAUGAUUUGCAGGUUGCCAAUAUUAUAUUUAUUGAUUGGCCCGUUGGCACUGGAUUUUCCUAUGCAAACACAUCGAAAGGUUACUCUUCUUCAGAUACCAAAUCAGCAAAAGACAACUAUACGUUUCUUAGAAAGGUACAUUGAUAUUGUUAAUCAUAAGUCAUAGUUGUAAGUAGCUAUUGAAGAGAAUAGAAUUUUAAGUUGUUAGGCUUCUCCGUUUCACCUAUUAAGAAGUCGCUUAUAGACAACUCACUCUUAAAAGUAAUGUGUGAGGUUAGAAUUUUCGAUGUAUUUGUAAACUUCGAUGUAUUUGUAAACCCAUAAGCUAGGCCUUUCACUAGUGAUGUAGGAUUUAAAAUAGUCGCUAUACCAUCCACAUGUGUUUCCAGGUUAGUGAUAUAACAAAAUAUUGAAAAUGCAGUGGUUGUUGAAUCACCCUAUGUUUAUGAAAAAUCGUUUAUAUGUUGCGGGGGACUCUUAUGGUGGCAAACUGGUUCCCAUGGUUGCCUUGGAAAUAUCAAAAGGUAUGUCUGUAAAUAAGAAAUAUAAAACUUGGUUUUCUUUUUUUUUUUCUUUUUUUUUUCUUUUUGUGUGUGUGUGUCAAUAAACUAUGCUUGAUUAAGUUGUAAGUGCUGCUGGUAAUGCAGGCAAUGAAGCAGGCUUACAGCCAUGAAUAUCUUUCCAAGUACUAAUUUACUAUUUAUAUGAUAACUCCAUUUUUAUUUUCAAAUUUUGCAAUAUCACAUUAAUGAGAGAGUGCUUUCGGAAUUGAAAUAGGGAUACAUUAUUGGGAAUGGAUUAACGGAUCCAAACAUUGAUUACAAUGAACGAAUUCCAUAUGCUCACCGAAUGGCACUUAUAUCGGAUGAAUAUUUUGAGGUAGUAAUAUUCUUGAAUCAAUUAUUUUGAUGAUAAAAUUAAUCACACCUAAAACUUGUUAUUGAAUCUAUUUCCCUUAUUCAUGUAACUUGAUACAAUUUUAGUCGGCAAAAAUUAGCUGUGAUGGGAAAUAUUACAAUCCUGAUCCAAAAAAUUUGCAAUGUCUUUAUGCUCUCAGACCGAUCCAAGAGGUAGCACUUGCAUCUUGUUAUAUUUUAUAUUUUCUUUGAAAUUUAGUAUAGCAUAAACACUCAUGAAAUGAUCAAAUAUUGCAGAGUAUUAAAAAUGUAAAUCGAGGACACAUUCUGGAACCAAAAUGUAAACAUAUAGCACCAAAACCAAAUGAAUUGGGAUGGGAUCAAACACUUGCUGAAGAUGAUUCCACUGACCACCUCCUCCUCCCAUCCAAAAUAAAUGGAUUGUGGUGCCGCGUAAUUUCGACCUCUAUUUAUAUAUCUCAUAGCAUGUUCUCCUAGAGUUAACAGGGUUUCUCAAGGUGUGGUUUCUUUUUUGCAGUUUCAAACUUACGUGACAUCAUAUAUUUGGGCAAAUGAUCCAACCGUCCAAGAAGCUCUUCAUAUUAAAAAGGUACUUCUAAAUCAAAAUUGUUAAAAACCCACUAUACUUUAUAAUGGCUAAUCUUUGAUUUGAUUGCCAGGGAACAAUAACAGAUUGGACAAGAUGCAAUAACAGCUUAUCCUAUGCACAUAAUAUAGAAAGUGUUGUUCAAUAUCAUAAAAUCCUCAGCAGGAAAGGAUAUGAAGCUUUGGUGUACAAGUAAGUCAUAUUCAUUUAUUUCUUAAACAAAGUGACUUAUUUUGUUCUAAGCUUAUUCUAGUCCAUCAACUAAGAUAUAGUUGUUUCAAAAGUCAAGGUAAAAGUAUUAAACAAAAAACCUAACUCUACAAAUUUGUAAAUUUGAUUUAAUCUUUUUCAAUUGUUCAUGUUAUCUUUCCAGUGGUGAUCAUGACAUGCUCAUAACUUAUAUGGGUACUUUAAAAUGGAUUCAUAGUCUCAAUCUAACCAUAGAUGACGAGUGGAGACCUUGGAAUGUUAACGGCCAAUUUGCAGGGUUGGUUUCCAAUUCUUUAUCUCAUCCAUUCACACAGAUAUAUGUUGCAUCUUAUUGAAUAAAUCUCAAAAUCUCAUUUACAUAUUAUUUUGUAGAUACACAAGAAAAUACAAGAAGAAUGACUUCUAUCUCACAUUUGUAACGGUGAAGUUAAGAAAAUUUCACUAUGCUCUUUCUCACGGUGAUUGAAAGAAAAAAGAAGUAAACAUGUGUAAUCUAUUGCAGGGUGCAGGUCAUACGGCUCCGGAAUAUAACCCUGAACAAUGUCUUGCAAUGCUCAAUCGAUGGCUCUCUUUAUAUCCUUUAUAGAUUCGGAUUGAUGGCUAAGUUUUUAGGGUUCAUCCAUUACACCUUUUUAGCACUGUGAAAUCAUGAGAAAAAAAGUGAAAAAAAAAAUUUAUAAUGAAAGCAAACUUCAAAAUAAAGUAAUAGCAAUGCCAUGUAAUGUAAUGUUACGAUGCACGUACGUCAUCAAAUCAAAGAUGCCUUGGCUUGGAUUAUCUGGUCCUGUGGUAUCGUUUUCCAUGGUGGUGGACUCCACCAAAUGUUAUUGGGUUGAAGCCUCGAAGUCGUUCAGCCUCCUUAGCAUUGAUCACACACUUAGAUGAAGUAACCUUGUAACGUGAACAGUCAUAGCAGUACGAGUAUUGCAUGUGCUUACGUAAACUCUCAAAUUUCAUUUGCUUUUCACGAAUGCAUUUUUAGCAGUAUUUUAAAAAGCGUAAAGCGUGACUCGGUGUGAAAGCCAAUUUUCAAGCUUUACGAAUCUAGCCAAGGCUUAGGAGUAAAAAAAUGUUUUUUAUUUAUUUUUAAUAUUAUUUAAAAUUUUAUUAAAAAUUAUUUAAUAAUUAAAAUAAUAUAUACCAAACAUUUAAAAUUAUAACAUACUAUAUUUAUUUAAUAAUUCCUACAGUUAGUAAAUUAUACAAUUUUUAAUUUUUCAAAGUGCAAAAAUUAGAUUUUUUUUUCAUAGUUUCAACUUUCAACAGAUAAGUCUUACUUGAAAUUUUCUAACAGAUUUUUAUUUUUGACUCUUGUUCAAAUAAAGUUUUUUAAAAACUUGAAACAAAUCUCAAAUGAAAGGCUUUUAAAAAAAAAUAAAAUAAUUAAUAAAGCGCCACUAGGCACUCAUUGUCAAGGUGUAGCAUUUCGCUCGGGGCCGUGCCUAAGCAUUGCUUGGCGAGCUUUUUAGAAUGCUAUUGUUUAGUAUAGUAAUUUGUCCCUUUAUUUUUCUUUUAACCCUUUUUGAAGAGAAUAACGAGAUGGAAAGAAAUUGAUUCAAAAAGUAGAUAAUAUUGUUUUAUUAAUCAAAAAAUUCGAUUUUCCCUUAGUUAAAGAUAUAGCCUUUUAGAAGUAUACGAAAUUAAGAAAAUGGAGCAGAAAAUUGUUAAAAUUAUUUGAAUAGCUCGCCAACAAAUUGAACGUGAAAGGUAGAACAUUUUGUUGCGAUAGUAAUGUUCUUAUUUGGUAAGGAUACCAUUACAUUUGGAGUUACGCGUUGAGUUUUACUCAACCCCAUAAACUUGUUUCAUUAAGCACCAUCAACUUAAUCAUCAUUUUUCUAUCCAGUAGAUUUGACAAACUUCAUAUGGUGACGAAGAAAAUGAGUGGAGAAUUCAUGAAAUGGGCAAUAUGUUAAUGGUAUUGCAUUUUCCCAACCUCAUCCCUAAUGAAUAAUAAGCAUUUGACUAUACUCCAUACAUUAGCAGUUAAAAGAGAUACAUGUUGAACAUUUUCAUAGAUCUUAGCAUUUAUUUUCCUUGGUAAUCUUGUUUUUCAUUUCUUUUAGGGAAAAUUGUAGCCGAGGUACCAAUACUUUUGUUUAUUAGCAGACUUUGCCCAAACCUUUAGUUUGUGCCACCGGAGAUACCAAACCUUUAAAAAAUGAGCAUGACAGUCCAAAAUGACGGUUUCCGUCUGUUUGACCGCCAAAAUCGUCAAUUGACCCCUCUAAUGAUAUUUUCAAGAAUUUUCUCCAAAUAAGAGAAGGGCAACAUAGACAUUACACACAUUUCCCUCCUCUACAUCAAACACGUCAGUUACAACUUCAUUCUACUCACCAUCCACUAUGGACCCUACGAAAACCCACAAAGAAGACGAAAUGUACGUCGAAGAAGACGAACAUCCAGUGGACAUUGCAGCCCACAUUCGAGGCUCUCUUCCCCAAUCCGUGUAUGGUAAGUGUGUUCCCCUUUUUUCGAUUUACAGUGUGAAAUUGUAUGAUUAUGAAGUUCCCCUGUUCGAUUGUCUUCACGUACUGGGAAAUUUAAAAAUUUUAAGUGAUUUGGUGUGUUAGAACGUAAUGCUUGUGUACUAUCUUUUCUGCACAUGUUCGUUGCUUGAACUGAAAAGGGCUAGGGCUUAACAUCAUAUUUUUCGGUGUUUUUUUAGGGGAAAAUUCAAAGUACUUCAGCAUACGGCUUCAUCAUGGUGGAAUUUUAUUUCAGAAGAUGAGAAAUUUUGUGUAUGAGCAUGGGUAAAUAAGUUAUAUAGACUAUAUCGACCCUGAUUUCUUCAAUAGAUUUCUUUUGGACAAUGUCGUGAAGAUGUUAGAAUAUUCUGAUAGAAUUAGAUAUCUGUACAAGAUGGAGAAGAAAAGAAUGAGUGAAACUUCAUUUUGGUUGGUUAAAGACUCAGAUUUCAUGAAUUUAGUGAAGUGGCUUGGUGAUACUAGAACUGCUGAACUAUAUUGCUUGCCUGUAGUUGAGGUUUUGGAGUUGCCUUGGGAUGAUACAGAACAAAAGGAUGUUCGAGUGUUUGAUUGUGAGAUUGGUGAGGAGUUGUGAAGGUUCAAAAGUCUGGUGAAGCAUUGAAUGAGCAGCAACCAUGCUAUGCUAUUGAGAUUUAUGACGAAUCACUAGACGGUGAUGACGUGUAUGUGGUUGAUGAAGUGGAUGACAUGGAAGUAGAUGAAGAGGAAGUUUUCCUUACAGGAGAUUACGUCGAAGCGUCAUAGAGGUUACAGUGCAUGGAACAGAGCAUGAGUAUACAGAGGUUGAUUUUAUAGGGGCUGAAGUAGACUCACAUGAACCAGAAGUGCAUGCUGCUGAACCAGAGAAACCACAUGAUGUUGAACCACAGUUGAGGUCUGAACAUGAGUUGCAUGACGCUGAAGCAGUGGUACAAGUUGCUGAAACUGAUGUGCAUGCUUCUGAACCAUAGUAGCAGGCUCAACAGGAGCUGCAUGGUACUGAACAAGAGGCGCAGGCUGCUGAACAUGAUGCCGAAGCAAAGGUGUAGGCUGCUGAAAUUGAUGUGCAUGCUUUUGAACCACACCAGUAGGCUCAGCAUGAGGUGCAGGCUGCUGAAACUGAUGUGGAGCUUGAUGAACCACAUGUUGACGUACCGAUUGUUGAAACUGGUGUGGAACAUGAUGAUCUUGAGCAGGAUGAUGAAUAUGAGGAGGGUAUAGGAGAGGAAUUCAAUGACUCGGAGUACGAGCAGGAAGAAAAUAUUGUUGUGGAUGAUAAUGAUGAAAAGACAUAUUUUAGGUUGAGUGAAGGUUUUGACAUUGGUGUAAGUGGAGAGCAGAAAAGUGUAAGGGAUGAACAGGAAGGUGAGGCAGCUGCUGGGGAAGAAUAUGGAAUAGACUACAAAGACUCCAAUGAGCUUAGAAGCUUACCCGGUGAUACGGAGGCUGAGGGUCAUCUGCCAAAAGGAAGAAUGUGCGCUGGUUUAGCCCUGCAACUGAUAUGGAUGAUCCACAGUUCAAGCUAGGUAAUGCAUUUGUUUUGUUUAAUUCAUUUGGAUGAUAAUGCAUUCUGGUUUAAUUCAUUUCUACUAGGGAUGAAAUUCGACAACAUCAAGAUUCUAAAGAAUUCAGUAGUUCAAUACUCAGUCAAAAAUUUCAGGCAACUGAGAUACGUGAAAAAUAUGAGGACACAGUUGAGAGUUUGAUGUCAAGAUAAUUGCCCUUGGGUUCUGUAUGCGUACCAACAACCCGACAAGAGUCUUAGAAUUAACACAUUGGUAGAUGAGCACACAUGUACCAUCGUGUGGCAAAAUAAAAGGGUUAAUUUAGGUUUUUUGGCAAAGAAAUACGUGAGAAAAUUUAGGUCUAAUCCCAACAUUCCAAUGAGUAGUUUUAUGGAGACUGUGAAAGAGGACUGCAUGUAUGAGAUUUCAAAGCAUCAGUUCUACAGGACAAGAUCAAAAUGUGCAGAAGUUAUUAAUGGGAUUGUAGCUGAGCAGUACAAAAUUUUAUGGGAUUACGGCGAGGAAUUGAAGAGAGCAAAUCCAGGCAGUACAGUACAAAUUGAAGGUUCAGGACAUACUUUUAAGAGAUUGUACAUCUGUAUAAGGGCUUGUAAGGAAGGGUUUAAGGCCACGUAGAGGCUAGUUGUUGAGUUGGAUGGAUGCUUCGUAAAAUCUGUAGAAGGUGGACAGUUGUUGGCAGCUGUUGGCAUCGAUGGUAAGAACUGUAUGUUCUCGUUAGCAUGGGCACUUGUGGAUACAGAGAACAAAAUAAACUGGCAAUGGUUCAUAGAAUUGUUGGUUCAUGACAUAGGGAUGCACAACCGUCGAGCUUGGACAUUCAUUUCCGACAAACAAAAGGGUUUGAUGGAUUCCAUAAGUCAAUACUGUGAAGGAGCGGAGUAUAGGUGUUGUGCUAGACAUAUUUGUAGUAAUUACAAAGGGCUGGCACUUAAGAACCAUUUUGGAUUGCAGCAAGGGCAACAAUAGUGUCAGAGUGGAAGAGUGCAAUGAAUGAGUUAAAAGACAUAAGUGAAGAGGCUUACAACUGGUUCUUUGAAAAACCUCCUUCCCAGUGGACCAGAUCCCAUUUUGAAGAGCAUUCGAGAUGUGAUAUUCUUCUUAAUAAUUUGUGUGAGGCAUUCAAUUCUUCCAUUUUUGUUGCCAGAGAUAGGCCCAUCAUCUCGAUGCUAGAGAAAAUUCGGCAUCAGCAAAUGAUAAGGAUGAAUGCAAAAAUGGGAAGCAGCACAGAGGUGGGAUCAUGCAUUCGGGCCAAGAAUUGUGAAAAUUAUUGAGAAUGCUAAGUCUGAGGUAAGGUACUUGAAGGCAGACUAUGCAGGCAACCAUAAGUUUGAGAUAAGCAGCAAAGACGAUUUGAGGUAGAGCGUUGACUUGACAAAACAUGCAUGUGCAUGCAGAAAAUGACAGCUCACUGGAAUACCAUGUCCCCAUGCAAUAUCAAUCAUGCUUUCAAGGGAUAUUGGCAUAUAUGAGGAGAUCGACCCAUGGUAUAGCAAGGAAACAUACCUCAAAUGUUACUCCCCAGUAAUCUACUCGAUGUCAGGACCUGAACUGUGGCCAGAAUUGGGAAAGCAUCCUCUCAAUCAACCUCAGAAGAGAAAAUAGGCUAGCAGACCCAAAAAAAUGAGGAAGAGAUCGUAGGCAGAUCCAUCUACAGGCGUUAAGAUGGGAAGGACUGGCAUGAAGAUACCGUAUAAAUGUUGUGGAGGGUCUGGACAUAACAAAAGAAGUUGUGAGAGAGCACUGCCUGGUGAAGAUAGUUCAUAGCAACAGUCUCAACCAAACACAUAAAUAGAGUCCCAAGAAGAUACACAUACUAGAUCAGCGAAGGGGAAGAGAAAAGCACAUUCAACGGAAACCUCCAAGUCACAGACAAAGAAGUCCAACAAUAGAGGAUCGCAAUCUUGAACAUCAUGUGCUCUCUCUUGUAUAGUUACUUUUUUGGGAAAAUGCUGUGAUUUUUUGCAAACUGAACUGAAAAUAUGUGCUUCAAAUGCUGUUAUUUUGUAGAUGUAACUAGAAUUUUUGAUGAAAUUGUUGAAUGUGAUGAUAAUAUUGAUGUCGAAUAUCUUGCAUUAUGUUUCUGCUGUUUGUCGUUGGUUUCUGAAAUUGUAUUCGUAAGACUUGAUGUGCAGGCGAUUAGGAAAUAUAUGAAAAUAUUUGAUACUUCCUCUGAAAGUAUUAUCAAACAUUUGGUACCUUUACUGCAAUAUUUUUAAAGGUUUAGUAUUCUGUCUGAAAUCAUUAGAAAAUAUUUGGUACUGAUUCUGUGAAUAGUUAUAAGGUUUGAUACCUAUGCUGCACCUUCUUCAGAUAAGUUUGAAGUGUAACAAGCUCUUUUAAUUUCGCAUUUUACAUAGAGGCCAGGAAAAGAUUGUUAAAUUUCAAGUCAAAAUGUACAACACAAUUUUUCCUUUUUACAUAUGCAUUUCACAACAUCAAGCACAUGGCUCUAUGUCGAAACCCUAAACUCAAAUUUCUGGAACUAAAAACUAAAAUCCUACAAUCUGACAUACCUAGGAACAAAGCCAUUUUGCAAACACUCCACACACAAAGCCGAAGAGCCAGAUCUUCCACACAUUUGGUCUUGUUGCUUGAAGUGUGUUAAUUUUAGCUUCCAUUUCUCUCCUACCUCAUAAUAGACCAGGAAUCAAUUCCUUCGAUCUCUCACACAUCGAAGGGUCACAUCACAUAAAGAAGGUGCAUCCACCUACAUCUUGGCUUCGAGGACAAGUGAGAAAUCUUCUUCCCGAGUUCAAGUUCGUCCACGAGGUCUUCAUCUGCACCGGGGAACCACAUCUGCAUACAUUCCCCUCCAUGUGCGUGCUGAUUUUUUUUUACUACCUGUGAGAGAGAAGGGAGGAGGUAAUAUAAUGAUAAAGAAUUGAAGGGAAAUAAACAGUGAAGUAUAUAAUAGGAGGGAAAUGUGUGUAAUGCCCAUGUUGCCCUUCACUUAUUUGGGGAAAUUCUUGAAAAUAUCAUUAGAGGGGUCAACUGACGGUUUUGGCGAUCAAACAGACGGAAACCGUCAUUUUGGACUGGCCCUGCUCAUUUUUUAAAGGUUUGAUAUCUCCGGUGGUACAAACUAAAGGUUUGGGCAAAGUCUGCUAAUAAACGAAAAGUUUGGUACCUCGGCUGCAAUUUUCCCUUUCUUUUAUUUUAAUUAUGUGAACAUUAUGUCCUUUAACAAUCUAGGACUUACAACCAUAGUGCAACUGUUAUCGUAACCAAUCUGUAGAACCUGCCAUUUCACUAGGUAGAAGUCUUCUGAUUAUAUAUAUAAAAUCCCUCCCAGCAUUUUUUCAUACCCCCCAACUAUAUCUAAUACAGUGAAUUGCCCUUAUUAAUAUAUAAUGUAUGUUUUCAGUUAUAGUUCUAUUUGACUUAAAUUGCUACAUUACAAAAUUCUGCUUUAUUUAACAAAGACACCAAAUUAUUGUUUGUGUUAUAUGUACAUAAUAGAUUCACAAAAUAGUUUGCAUACUCAUGAUGUGCUGAGAUGUGAUUAUAUCAAAAUUUCUUCAACCAAAUAAAAUUUAAAAAAAAAUCCAAUCUCUUUUCACCUCCUCAUUUGUACAUAAAGCAUUAUGUAUCUGCUUGCGUACAAGUAACAUUAUUUUUUAAGGAAGGGGAAAUGAAUAUGUAGAAUGCCCCUUUUUUUUCUUCUUUUGUAACAAAUAAUCUUUUGUAACAAAUAAUGUGGAGAAUAUAGAAGCAACAAAAAACACUUUGAACUUGUUAUGACCGAUUUCUUUAUUUUCCCAUUCAUUUACAGGUUGCCAAUAUUAUAUUCAUUUAAAUAAAGUUCAUUUAAAUCAGAAAAAUAAGAACUUACAUAAAGAUUUCAAAUGACCCAUUAAAAUCAAAUGAUGGAAUUUGGGAGCGAAAUUGGAGGAGAGACGAGAGUAAUGGAUUUGAUUCGAUUUGAUUUUGAGGCUCACCCACAAAGAAUAAAAUAAUUCAAUUUCGGGGGAAAAAAAUCAAAAUUUUUUGUGGUGCCACUUGACUACACAUGACCCAUGUGGGUUCGCCUAUGAUGCUGGACAUCAAUGAUGCUGAAUGACAAUGCUUUCAUUAGAGCAUCUGUAAAACCGUUGACUACACAUUAUGUCCUUCAUAACCACAAAUUCUUGAAAAUAAACGCAUAUUUCAUCCUCCAAAGAAUGGUCAAUGCGAAGAUCUGAUAAGCAACGCAUAUGACCAACUUUUCUCAUAUUGAAAAGAACAACCUCGAAAUAUUUAUCAUCUGAGUCGUAUAACUUAAAAUCGUAGUCGAUCGAAGCAUUAAUAACAACAUACGUAGCAAAGUUAAAUAAGUAAACUAGUAAUACAAUUAAGAGGUUGUCUUGUUCUGCUUUUUCUUUAAAAAUCGAUUCUUGCAAGAAAUAUGGGGGACCCCGUUGCAAUUAAGCAGAUGUUGUACAAAAAUAUUAACUAUGACAAAGAAUAAAGCAGCCACCCCCACCAAAUGUUGCUUGUUUUGUGCAUAGACCAUUUCGCCCUUGUUCAAAGAUCAAGUAUAAAAAAAUAUUUGUACCAUACACUCACAAUGCGUCACUGUGUAAUGGGAUCAAGACUCGAGUUACACCAAAUUUCAUGUGAGGUUUAGGUGAUUUAUUGGCAUGGGUAAAAAUAUCUUUAAGUAAGCCAGGGAAGGGUACAGCCUUUGCAUGGUCUCUUUUUUUGGCCUGAAUUUCUUAUUCAAAAUCCCUGUUUCAAACUAUUGUCAUUGUUAAUAAAAACAAGAUAAAUUCUAAAUCUAGUUCAAAACCAAAUAAUCAAUACAUACUUUAGAAAAUAUGUAUUUUUAAAUUAAUAGUAGUUUUCAAACAAAAAGAAAAUUAACUCCACAAAAUCAAGUAAAAGAACAAUAAAAAAUAUGUCUUUAGAAUCGGUUUUUUAUUUACAUGACAAUAAAAGUUGGGACGUUCCUUCUUAAACAUCAUGUGUAAUCUCAAGUUAUUGUUGUUGGUUUCUUAAUUUCAUAGUGCUGACUUUACGAUUCAUCUAGAAACAAUGCACCCACAACUCUAACUCCCCGUUUUGCAAAUAAUGGUCCGACUUAAUUAUCACAUAAUUCAAUCUAUUGUUACAUGGCUCGGAACUCCUUAAUUUCCCAAAAUAUGAAAUUGGUUCUAAAAUUUAGGUGGUUAAGUAUGAUUUUGUGCGAGGCCAGACAGAAGAGUUAGAAUUUCCAUAAAUGAGAAAAUGAUAUGUAGUUGUUCUAUAUUAGUAAUUCAAUACAUAUGAAAAGCAUAUCAAAGGAAGCAAUUAAACCCUAAUUCAAGGUCUUUAAAAUUCAUGAUUUUCACAUAUAAAGAUUAAUUGAUCAAGAAACAUACCUUGAUCCACGACAAUAAUUAAGUAAUUUAAAUCUGCAAAAGAGAAACCAGUAGAAAUAAAGAAAACAUUAUCUUUCUUCACCUCUCUAUAAUUGAAUGUAUUAAUUAAUGAGUUUCAUUCACGCUUAUAAGUAGAGAGGGAUAGUUUCAUGGGCCAUUAAAAUAAUUGUUCACUUUCCAUCAAAGUGAAUAUUUAUAAAGCUGUCACUUGACUCAUUUCUCAAUGGGCCAAUAGAAUUUUAACAAUAUUAAUCACUUUAAAUUAAGUGGAAAUUGCACAAGAAUAUACUUUAAAUAUUCAACCUUCUAAAAUCAGAUUGAAAAUUUGAUAUUUCAAAAAUCAAUGUAUUAUAUUUAAAUAUUAAAUAUUAUAAUACAAAUUUUAUUACAAACCCUAAAUAAUUAUUCCCUCUCCAUCUUUUCCCCUCUCUCUCUUCUCACCCAUCUCCCUCCCCACUCUUAGUCGCCACCUCUCAGUAGCCUUGCCUGACGGCACAUCACCGGCAACAAAUAGCUGUGACAAUGGCGGUUGGAAGUGUUGGCGAUGGUGUUGUGGUGAUGGUCCUCUCUUCCCACCCGUCUCCCUCUCCACUCUCAAUCGCCUCUUCUCUACUCUCAGUAGCCUUUCGACGACACUUCACCGACGAGAAAACAGUUGCAAUCACUCUCUGUAAGGCUGGGACGACACACGGCUAUGACGAAUGGGGCUGCCGUGACAAGAUUUUUGGGGGUGAUUGGGCUGCUGACAAUACACGGCUGCUUAUGGUUUAGGUGUGUUCUCUGUUGGUGAUUAUUGGUUGAUGAUGGCUGAGGCGAUGGUGGUGGUGGUUUUGGAUCUAUGGUUUACAUUGAUUUGGUUACUUCUGUGGUUCACUAUCGAUUAUUUUAGUUUUGUGGCAGUGGUGGUGGUAGUGUAUGGUGCAAUGGUGGGGAUGGUUGUGCGCAGUUCAUAUUUUUUUUCAAAUUUUUUGCUGCGUUGACGUUGGUGCGGUAGAGGUAGCUGUGGCAGUGGCAGUGGUGCAGUUUUUUUACAGGUGGUUAAUGGCGGUGAGACAUUGGUUUUGGUUGUUGAAGUGGUGGUGGUAGUGGUGGCAACUUCCAUAUUUUGGAGGUAGCGGGGCGGUAACGAUGAUAAUGAUGGUGGUUGCAGUGGUCGUGAGUAGGAUGAGAUGGGGUUAAAUGCUUGUGAACAAUUAUUUGGUUGAUUGUAACUAAUAAUUGGUUAAUUUGUAAUACGUGACCUCAAAAUUGUGACUGUGACUCAUAAUUGAUUAAGUUGUGACUAGAAAAUGAAUUGUGACCAAUUAAUAUAAUAAUUUGCGAUGAAUAAAUGAGUUGUGAUCAAUAAAAAUUUUGAUUUUAUGACCAAUAAAUUAUUUGUAACCUGUAAAAUUUUUGAUUUGUGACCAAAAAUAAGUUGUGACUAAAAAUUAAUUCAUGAUUAAUUAAUUUUUUGAUUUGUGAUCGAUGAACAAAUUGUGAUUUACAAAAUUUUUGAAUUAUGAUCGUAAAAUAAUUUUUGAUAUAAAAUUUUUAAUUUGUGGCUAAAAAUAAUAAAUGACUAAUUAAAUUGUUAAUUUGUGGUCAAAUUGUAUAGAUCUGUGAUCUAAAUAUAUUUAAUUGGUAAAUUAAUUAAUUAAAUCAUAAAUAAUUUUUAAUAAAAAUCUAACUUUUAAAGUUUAAAACUUUUUUUCUUAAUUUUGAAAUAUAUGAUACUUAAACUCUCACUUAUUAAAUUUUCCUUCAAAUUAAUUCUUUAAUAAUAUUACAUGGGCCACAUUUAAUUGGACUAACAAUCAAUACAAAAAGGCUGGUGUAAGGGAUGACGAUAGCCAUCGACUGUAUUUUUUUGACUUUUUUAUAAAUAAUAUAAAUAUAUAAAUAUGAAGGACAGAAAAAGAAUACAAUAUUCCAACUUUUCCCUUUAUCUCAGAUCUAUGCCAUUUUCCAAUAACACAGUAAAACAUAUAUGUUUCUGCAGCUCAAUUUCUAGGCUGAUUAUUAUGAAGUUGAUAUGGUUUGAUGCACUUCUUCUUCUUCUUCAGCUCCUCUUUAGCAAGGCAGCAUCAGAGUUCAAUAUAGAGACUCUUCCGGGUUAUUCGGGUACUCUUCCUGUCAAGCUCGAAACAGGGUGGGUUUCUUUCAUUCUUUAACAACUUCCUUUUGACUUUUAAUUCCAGAAACUGAGUAAAUUUUUUUAUAAAUUUGGAUGAUUAGAUAUAUUGAUGUGGGAGAAACUGAAGAAGUGCAACUAUUCUACUACUUCAUCGAGUCCGAAAGCAAUCCUAAAAUGGACCCUAUUCUGCUUUGGCUCAACGGUGGACCUGGUUGCUCUGCUCUCUCCGGCCUCUUUUAUGAAAUCGGUACUCUCUCUAUAUGUGUGUCAUUAUUUUCUUUCAGCAAAUGGGACUUAUACAUACUCAGGGAAUUACAUCCUUCCUAUGCAUAAACGGGAGAGAUAUGUGUGUGCAGUAUGCAAAUGAUGAGUAGCAACCAGCAAAAUAUGGAAAGUGAUUCGCACCAUUCAAAUUGAACACACAAAAGAUCUGCAUGUGCUCUGUAUCGUAGAUAAGUAAUAUAACGAUAAGUAGAGUAUCGUCUCACGAAAAUUAUGUAUUUAAUCUAGUAUCAAUUAAUGCUUACUCUAAUUGAAUUGUUGAGUUUGUAUGGUGAAUUUAUACUAAUUAAUUAAUUAAAUUACUUCAAUGAGCAACUUAUGAAAGCUUUUUGUAAAAUUAUGUUAAGCACUUGCUACGACUUUGAAUUUUCCUUAUUAAUCCAAUUUAAUGCAAUUCAAUAUCAUGACAAUAUGU